This 434-nucleotide long non-coding RNA is filed under the name Lathyrus oleraceus (garden pea). RNAcentral's name for it is "Pisum sativum (pea) long non-coding RNA (PSAT_LNC011520)". The record is from RNAcentral. Lineage: Eukaryota; Viridiplantae; Streptophyta; Magnoliopsida; Fabales; Fabaceae.
AUGAUGUCCUGACCCCACCUCAUUUAGUUUAAUUUUUCAUAAUUUUCUUAAUUAAUUUACUAUUUAUUCUUGAUUUAUUUCUAACCUAGUCUCAUUAAUUGACUCUUGGUUUGACCUCUGUUUUAUUUUAAUUAAUUUAUGUACCAAUUUUCGUUAUUUUUAAAAUCUUUUUUGGGGAUGAUGAUGUCCUGACCCCACCUCAUUUAGUUUAAUUUUUCAUAAUUUUCUUGAUUAAUUUACUAUAUAUUAUUGAUUUAUUUCUAUUCUAGUCUCAUUAAUUGACUUUUGGUUUGACCUUUGUUUUAUUUUAAUUAAUUUAUGUACCAAUUUUCGUUAUUUUUAAAAUAUUUUGUGAGGAUGAUGAUUUCCUGACCCCACCUCAUUUAGUUUAAUUUUUCAUAAUUUUCUUGAUUAAUUUACUAUUUAUUCUUGAU